CAGCAGCCACGGUAAUACGUAGGGUGCAAGCGUUAAUCGGAAUUACUGGGCGUAAAGCGUGCGCAGGCGGUUCGUUAAGACAGAUGUGAAAUCCCCGGGCUUAACCUGGGAACUGCAUUUGUGACUGGCGGGCUAGAGUAUGGCAGAGGGGGGUGGAAUUCCACGUGUAGCAGUGAAAUGCGUAGAGAUGUGGAGGAACACCGAUGGCGAAGGCAGCCCCCUGGGCCAAUACUGACGCUCAUGCACGAAAGCGUGGGGAGCAAACAGGAUUAGAUACCCGGGUAGUCCCUGUCUCUUAUAC
Molecule: ribosomal RNA, 301 nt
Filed under: uncultured bacterium
Lineage: Bacteria
Description: partial 16S ribosomal RNA
Rfam family: Bacterial small subunit ribosomal RNA
Source: RNAcentral